GCUCCUUUGGUUUAGAUGGUUAUAACUCCGGAUUUUGAGAUGGCGGCGUUAUGACACUAUGUUUUUCCGUCCCAAGAAUUCCGGCAACCCUGGUUCGAGUCCAGGAAGGAGCU
Non-coding RNA from Phyllosticta citribraziliensis, 113 nucleotides. The record is from the annotation of a GenBank genome assembly. Lineage: Eukaryota; Fungi; Ascomycota; Dothideomycetes; Botryosphaeriales; Phyllostictaceae.